Molecule: long non-coding RNA, 3565 nt
Organism: Conger conger (European conger)
Lineage: Eukaryota; Metazoa; Chordata; Actinopteri; Anguilliformes; Congridae
Exons: 2
Source: RefSeq, a predicted model, not a curated record
UCCAUUAAUUUCUACGAGCGUUAGGGCUAAUGCUAGCACCUGGCAUAUCACUAAUCAAAGUAUGUCUGGCACCUCUAAUAUAGAAGAAGGUGGCAGAUUGGAGGCUGUAGGAAAUUACUAGCCUACUUCAGUUUGGUGAAAAGAAACUUCAAGUUUGAUUACAAAGCAGGUUUACCAUAGCUGUCAACCCUCACGCUUUCGGCGUGAGACACGAAUUUGCCUGUUUUCACACGCACAUGCAAAUGCGUGUGUCUCACGCCGAAAGCGUGAGAGUUGGCAGCUAUGGGUUUACUGAGUUAGCUGCUUAGUGAAACUCUAGUUUUGUGAAACAGUCCCCGGAUCCUUCAACCUUGGCUCAGACAACUAAAAGAAAUAAACCAAAGUAAUGACCUGAAGGCAAAGAAAGCAGAAAGCAAUCUUCGGCAGAACAGGACAAUAAUUAAAAUGUCACGUUUCAGGUCUGUUUUGUCAUGUUUUAUGUUUAUUAAUUUUGUCUUUUGCUCUGUUUGUUUGUUUCUUUAUUCUCAAAAAAAAAAAAAAAGGCCCUCGUCCUUAUCUUUGUUGUACAGGUAGCAGUUGAAAUUGUACUUCCCUCUAGCGUCUUUCAGCGAACUUAUCCCUGGUUAUGGGUAUGCACUUUGUUGUACGUCGCUCUGGAUAAGAGCGUCUGCCAAAUGCCAAUAAUGUAAUGUAAUGUAAUGUCUUAGUCACGUAUUGUCUUAUCAUGUAUUAUGUUAGUCUAGGUUCGUCAUGUUGUUUAGUUUAUUUCUUGUUACGAUUUAUUUUCUCGUCAUGUCUAGUUAUGUUUCGUUACAAUUAUAUUCCCUUGUUAUGUUGAGUGGUUAUCGUCUUAGUUUCGUUUUGUGUUAUGUUUUUAUUUAUGUUUAUUGUUACGUAGACUGGUUGCUGUUUAAACAUUUUUACAUGUCUUUCCGCAAACCUUACGUUCCGCCUUUUCUCUCUCUCUCUCUCUUUCUGUCAAUCACACCCUAAUUGUUUCCAUUUGUCUAUUUACUAAAACUACUAACGCUAUAUCAGGAUUGGGUGGAACUAACAAACUAAUUAUGUGUUCAUGUUGCGCCUAAGAGUCGGCGUUCUUCUCUGUUCCAAUGUUCCAAUAUGUUCCAAUAUUGGAGCCAAUCACAGGCCGUCCCUUGUUCCAAUUUCCAACUUUGACGAACUUUGACAAAGCUGCUCGGCCAAUCGGACGGGCGGAUUUGUUCCAAAUUCGUCACGUGUUUGUUCCAAUUUCAUCACGUGUUUAGCCGGCCAAUUGUAGCUCUUCCUCCGUUUUGACUCAAAUCGGCGCGUCGGCCAUUGCUCUCGCAUCGGUGAAAGGUAAGCUUUCAAUGCGUUUUCUAAUGAAAUUUGUAUUAAAAUCGGAAGAAUGAUUUAUAUUUUCGUGUUCGCGCUGGUCAGAGCGGGCUAGCCGGUUGGCUUUCGAGCCGUUUUUCGGGCUGUUUAAUACGUUUGUAUGACUUAAACGGCACCGAACUCGUUAACGUUAAUACACAGAAUGAAUGAACUUUCCGGGCGUAUAAACACAUUAUGUAUGUAUUUUUACAUUAGAAAUAUAUCGUAAGACAAAGCUGGCAUGUCGCACGUUUCGUUUUAAUUAUAAAACGUAAUAUUAGUUUGUUUGCCAGGUGAAUAGCUGCUUUGGCAAGCUAGCUACAGACCGAACCGAAACCAUACAGUAGAAUCGGUGUGUACAGUACGAGUAAUGUUUUGACUCCCCAGUGUAAUAAUUUCUUUUAAACGACCGAACCGAAACCAUACAGUAGAAUCGGUGUGUACAGUACGAGUAAUGUUUUGACUCCCCAGUGUAAUAAUUUCUUUCGAAAUGUUUAAGAAAUGUUUUGGCAUAAACGACAACUGUCAGUCAGUAAUGGCAUAUCACAAAAUAUAUCACAAUUUAAAGCAUACUUUAUGUAACUUCCCAUAUUCUCAAACCUUGUGAUUUGUUUGCAUCUUUAUUUUGACUGUGUUUUAUAAAGUAUUGUCAGUUUGGUAUAAUACAAUUUGAAUUAACUGUUGUUUCAUUGUAAUAUUUAUCAGAGAAAGAAGGAUCUCCUUGAAAUAGGAAUGGUAGGUUUGGGUAAGAGAUUCAAUGUGUUUAUGCAUGCUUUGUACCUUUGUCCUGUCAUCCAUCCAUCGCUGCCUAGCUGUGGCUUUCACCAUGCGCGUAACUGCAACUUUCGCAUUUCCCUGUCUUAGGCUCAUCUUUCUUUUUGAUCACACCCAUCUUCUCCUGCACCCCCUGGUAUACUGGCACUGGGCAAAUUUAUGGCAUUACUGUAGAUGCACUUUCUAAUGUACAUCACUGACAACCAUAAUAACUAUGGCACUUAUUUGGGCUGAGCUGCUUGUAAUCAUAGUAAAAAAGCAUCUCAUUUCAAUGCUUGAUUGACACAAACACAUAGGUUUUUGUUUUAAAAUUAUUUUUAUUUUUUUGGUACGUCUCUGCAAAGGCGAUCCUGCUGUCGUAGAGGUCCCACACCCGCUCCCCCCGCCUCCACCGCCCACCACUCCCCCCGCCUCCACCUCCCACCACUCCCCCCGCCUCCACCUCCCACCACCGCCGGCGGAGGAGAAGAGGAGGGACGGGCUGAAGCCACAGCCUCUUUGAGCUGAACCAGCGCACUCUCUCCCAGUGGUACUCCCGGAGGCAGAAGGCGUGGGAGAGAGCUGUGCUUCAGCAGGACGUGGUGGGUACCCGCAUCCCUGACAGCGUGAGGAGAAGUACAUCUGCCUGUGAUCUGCCCUCUACUUGGACCGGUACCUUGGCGAGGUGUAGAGGCUUGCGUGUGCUGAAGACCCUCAGAGCUACAUUGCCUGCAGUCCUUGGACUGCUGGUCUGAGGUGAAGCACCAGACAAAAGCCGGUCCUGCAAUGGGAACAUUGAAAUGUCAAAAGUGUGCCCUUGGCUGCAUUUGUAAUGGACGCUUUUUUAUAUGGACACAGUAAAGUUCCCAGUGGUGUGCAUCAAUGUUUCCCAUUUUGUAUAGUGCUGUUACUUUAUGUCUAAAGUUCAGCAUAAUUAAGUACGUUUUUAAAACACAACUGUAUUACAGUGAAGCAGCUUGUGCAUCAAUGUUUGGAUCAUUGCGUAUUGCAAUCAUUUAAGGAAAUGCUUGUGAAAGGAAAUGCUUGUCUUUUGUUUCUGAAUUUAACAAUACUUGAUUUGAGUCUUUGAAAGUGAGAACAAUUUCCUUCCUUCUCCUGCAUACAAGUCAAAGCUUUUAAUGUCCUUCCUUCUCCUACAUCACUGACUGUCUAGACAGGCAGGCAGGCAGGCAGUCAGUCAGUCAGUACCAAGCCAAUUAUCCCUGCCAAAUGUGUUUUGGAUUGUGUACUGCAAUCGCUGUUUUAUCUAACAAAAGUAACUAAAAAAGUCAUCAAUAGAGUCAGUGAAAAGCAAACUUUGUCUUUUUAAAUUUUGUCUUUUUAUUUCAGUUAGUUAAUACAUUGCAUUGAUGUUCACAAUUACAACAUCUCUGUAUAAUUAAUUUCUGCUGCAGAAAUCAAUGUGUUGUAUAAGAAUAAAACAUGCACAGAAAGCCAA